This is a non-coding RNA of Solanum tuberosum (potato), 105 nucleotides long. NCBI's taxonomy places the organism in Eukaryota, Viridiplantae, Streptophyta, Magnoliopsida, Solanales, Solanaceae. The record is from RefSeq and is marked provisional.
UCCAAAACAAGAAAAAAUGGUUCAAUUUUGCUCUUGAACUAUUCAAAUUGUCCAAUUUUGAGUAAUUAAAGGUCAAGAUUGAGCCAUUUUUCUUUGUUUUGGAGC